CACGUACUUCCUUCGUUCGGAAUUACUUGUCAUAAAAAUGAAUGUAUAUACAACUACAAUACAUCUAGAUACAUUUAUUUCUUGGACGAGUAAUUCCGAACGAAGGGAGUACAUA
Non-coding RNA from Triticum aestivum (bread wheat), 115 nucleotides. Lineage: Eukaryota; Viridiplantae; Streptophyta; Magnoliopsida; Poales; Poaceae. The record is from Rfam.